UUCGCCUCCUGCUGCUCGUGUAACCGUAUUAUUUUUGCUCUUUCAAAUUUUUUUAUUGUUAUUUUAGAUACUUGCAGAAAUAUUUAAUAGUUUGAUGUGAACUCCCUCAAAGCUUUAACACAAAAUUAUAUGUGCGUUUUAAGCUCAGUUCUCUGUAAAAAAAGUUUUCUUUUGGGGUUCCCCCUUUAUUUGUUGUACAUGGGGCACUAAUUAGCGCUACACCACGCCUGAAAGCUGUGUGCUUUCCCGGGCUAUUCAGUCAUACGGUGACCGCUGGACUGGUAAGAUGCGCAUUCACUCUCUCUCGUGUAAAAGUCCCUCUUUAGGAGCUUAGAGCUCUAUAAAUCUGAUGAAGGAUGUAUUAUAACCUCAUAGUGAAGCUGAAUUGCCGUUCUUAAUGAGAACACAGCGUAAAUAGUGUUUUUAACCCCAGUUUUGUGCCUCAUGAGUUUUUUGCCUUGUGCAGGAGAGGGAGAGAGAGUGUGAGCCUGUCUGCCUGCGUGCGUGUGUGUUAUGCUAACUCUGCCCCAUGUUUUGUGCUCAGUUCCAGCAAUAAAAUCCUGAAGUCUGACUCUCCAUUGUGGUGUGGCUGAUCUCUGAUUGUCCGAACCUGUUUACGUCUGCUACACUCGCGAACACCGCCCGGAAACAAAAGGACAUUUUAAAGUCGUGGAGAAACAAAUAAGAAGCUGCAGUCGCGGGAUUUGGUCAAAAUCUUUCCGUCUCGCCCAGAAUAUCUGAUCAAAUCAGCCGACUGAGUACAAGGGACCGUCUGUAAAGUGCGGGACUGCGUCAACGUUGGUUUGGACCACGUUGAUUUCUACCGGCUGCUGAGACCUCGACGAGAACUAGUUAAGGGGCCGUCUACAAAGUACACUACAGUAAAGUUGCAAGUCGGGUGAAGACCAGCGGGGGAAAAGCACGUUAUUAAAACUCAGCCUUUAUGGGCCACAGAAUGUCUGCCGAUCACAACAUGGAAUUAAAGUUUUAGAAAAGAGCUGUAUUUACUGCUUUGUUAACAAAAACAACAAAUACUAAAUACUAAGUUCACCUGCAUGAUGCACUACAACUCUUAUAUCAGCAUAUAUAAUGUCUGCCAAGCUCUUGUGACAAGGUUAUGUGAAUUAACUUCAAUGACGUUUGAGUGUAGUGAAAAAGUCCCUUAACAGAUUUAAGUAAAGCAUUAAAAAGCUGUUAUAUUCACAGUGGUGGUGAUAGGAACCAGACGUCCACCUCUAAAAGCUCCUCGCAGAAGGUUAUUCCAUGACAUGGUUAUGAAUUCACUGCCUGAUUUUUGUGAUAAAGUUUUGGUGCUAAAUGUAUGUUAAUCGAUUCAUUUUAACCCAUUCAUGGUGGAGGAAUACAUGAGGGUCUUGAGAGGAAAAUCCACAAAGUGUCCACAAAAGAAAUUUAUUAUUUGAACAUUUUCCACUAUUUUACUGCUUAAUAAAAGAAAAUGUAAGAAUAAUUAAACAAAUUUUUCUUAACUUUCCAUAAUACUGUUUACAGGUUGUCUCUUGAGUUUUUAUGUCAAAAUGCUUAAAAUGCCUCAAAACUCAUGAAAUACUGCUUAGAAAGUGCACAUCAAAAAGGCCCAAAGUCAUUUUAACAUUAAUAUGACAUAAUACAGUAACUAACAUUACAUCAAUGAUAAGCUUCUGAGUCUAUUAUCCACUGAGGCCUCAUCUUUUCAGAAAUUGUCACUAGCUGGCGCUGUGGGUCUUUAACAAAUGUGUUUAUCACUGCUAGAAAGAACCAAAAGCUUUUCAUGUCUUUAAGUAUCCCUGUAAAACGCCUAAUAAACUCUACACUGUUCAAAUCCAAUAA
Molecule: long non-coding RNA, 1827 nt
Organism: Pygocentrus nattereri (red-bellied piranha)
Lineage: Eukaryota; Metazoa; Chordata; Actinopteri; Characiformes; Serrasalmidae
Exons: 2
Source: RefSeq, a predicted model, not a curated record